AUUGAACGCUGGUGGCAGGCCUAACACAUGCAAGUCGAGCGGUAGCACAGAGAGCUUGCUCUCGGGUGACGAGCGGCGGACGGGUGAGUAAUGUCUGGGAAACUGCCUGAUGGAGGGGGAUAACUACUGGAAACGGUAGCUAAUACCGCAUAAUGUCGCAAGACCAAAGUGGGGGACCUUCGGGCCUCAUGCCAUCAGAUGUGCCCAGAUGGGAUUAGCUAGUAGGUGGGGUAACGGCUCACCUAGGCGACGAUCCCUAGCUGGUCUGAGAGGAUGACCAGCCACACUGGAACUGAGACACGGUCCAGACUCCUACGGGAGGCAGCAGUGGGGAAUAUUGCACAAUGGGCGCAAGCCUGAUGCAGCCAUGCCGCGUGUGUGAAGAAGGCCUUCGGGUUGUAAAGCACUUUCAGCGGGGAGGAAGGCGUUAAGGUUAAUAACCUUGGCGAUUGACGUUACCCGCAGAAGAAGCACCGGCUAACUCCGUGCCAGCAGCCGCGGUAAUACGGAGGGUGCAAGCGUUAAUCGGAAUUACUGGGCGUAAAGCGCACGCAGGCGGUCUGUCAAGUCGGAUGUGAAAUCCCCGGGCUCAACCUGGGAACUGCAUUCGAAACUGGCAGGCUAGAGUCUUGUAGAGGGGGGGUAGAAUUCCAGGUGUAGCCGGUGAAAUGCGUAGAGAUCUGGAGGAAUACCGGUGGCGAAGGCGGCCCCCUGGACAAAGACUGACGCUCAGGUGCGAAAGCGUGGGGAGCAAACAGGAUUAGAUACCCUGGUAGUCCACGCCGUAAACGAUGUCGAUUUGGAGGUUGUGCCCUUGAGGCGUGGCUUCCGGAGCUAACGCGUUAAAUCGACCGCCUGGGGAGUACGGCCGCAAGGUUAAAACUCAAAUGAAUUGACGGGGGCCCGCACAAGCGGUGGAGCAUGUGGUUUAAUUCGAUGCAACGCGAAGAACCUUACCUGGUCUUGACAUCCACAGAACUUUCCAGAGAUGGAUUGGUGCCUUCGGGAACUGUGAGACAGGUGCUGCAUGGCUGUCGUCAGCUCGUGUUGUGAAAUGUUGGGUUAAGUCCCGCAACGAGCGCAACCCUUAUCCUUUGUUGCCAGCGGUUAGGCCGGGAACUCAAAGGAGACUGCCAGUGAUAAACUGGAGGAAGGUGGGGAUGACGUCAAGUCAUCAUGGCCCUUACGACCAGGGCUACACACGUGCUACAAUGGCAUAUACAAAGAGAAGCGACCUCGCGAGAGCAAGCGGACCUCAUAAAGUAUGUCGUAGUCCGGAUUGGAGUCUGCAACUCGACUCCAUGAAGUCGGAAUCGCUAGUAAUCGUAGAUCAGAAUGCUACGGUGAAUACGUUCCCGGGCCUUGUACACACCGCCCGUCACACCAUGGGAGUGGGUUGCAAAAGAAGUAGGUAGCUUAACCUUCGGGAGGGCGCUUACCACUUUGUGAUUCAUGACUGGGGUGA
This 1465-nucleotide ribosomal RNA is filed under the name uncultured Klebsiella sp. Its description in RNAcentral is "bacterial SSU rRNA". It matches the Rfam family "Bacterial small subunit ribosomal RNA". Lineage: Bacteria; Pseudomonadati; Pseudomonadota; Gammaproteobacteria; Enterobacterales; Enterobacteriaceae. The record is from RNAcentral.